AUUGAACGCUGGCGGCAGGCCUAACACAUGCAAGUCGAACGGUAACAGGAAGCAGCUUGCUGCUUCGCUGACGAGUGGCGGACGUGUGAGUAAUGUCUGGGAAACUGCCUGAUGGAGGGGGAUAACUACUGGAAACGGUAGCUAAUACCGCAUAACGUCGCAAGACCAAAGAGGGGGACCUUAGGGCCUCUUGCCAUCGGAUGUGCCCAGAUGGGAUUAGCUAGUAGGUGGGGUAACGGCUCACCUAGGCGACGAUCCCUAGCUGGUCUGAGAGGAUGACCAGCCACACUGGAACUGAGACACGGUCCAGACUCCUACGGGAGGCAGCAGUGGGGAAUAUUGCACAAUGGGCGCAAGCCUGAUGCAGCCAUGCCGCGUGUAUGAAGAAGGCCUUCGGGUUGUAAAGUACUUUCAGCGGGGAGGAAGGGAGUAAAGUUAAUACCUUUGCUCAUUGACGUUACCCGCAGAAGAAGCACCGGCUAACUCCGUG
This 490-nucleotide ribosomal RNA is filed under the name uncultured bacterium. RNAcentral's name for it is "partial 16S ribosomal RNA". It matches the Rfam family "Bacterial small subunit ribosomal RNA", at positions 30 to 507 of the family's 1533-position model. The record is from RNAcentral.